AUUGAACGCUGGCGGCAGGCCUAACACAUGCAAGUCGAGCGAGAAAGCCCUUCGGGGUGAGUAGAGCGGCGGACGGGUGAGUAACGCGUAGGAAUCUACCUGGUAGUGGGGGACAACUCGGGGAAACUCGAGCUAAUACCGCAUACGCCCUUCGGGGGAAAGCGGGGGAUCUUCGGACCUCGCGCUAUUGGAUGUGCCUGCGUCGGAUUAGCUUGUUGGUGAGGUAAAGGCUCACCAAGGCGACGAUCCGUAGCUGGUCUGAGAGGAUGAUCAGCCACACCGGGACUGAGACACGGCCCGGACUCCUACGGGAGUCAGCAGUGGGGAAUAUUGCGCAAUGGGGGAAACCCUGACGCAGCCAUGCCGCGUGUGUGAAGAAGGCCUUAGGGUUGUAAAGCACUUUCAAUAGGGAGAAAAGGCCCACGGCUAAUACCCGUGGGAGUUGAUGUUACCUAUAGGAGAAGCACCGGCUAACUCCGUGCCAGCAGCCGCGGUAAUACGGAGGGUGCGAGCGUUAAUCGGAAUUACUGGGCGUAAAGCGCGCGUAGGCGGCCUGUUAAGUCAGCUGUGAAAGCCCCGGGCUCAACCUGGGAAUUGCAGUUGAUACUGUCAGGC
This 615-nucleotide ribosomal RNA is filed under the name uncultured bacterium. RNAcentral describes it as "bacterial SSU rRNA". It matches the Rfam family "Bacterial small subunit ribosomal RNA", at positions 28 to 641 of the family's 1533-position model. The record is from RNAcentral.